This 486-nucleotide ribosomal RNA is filed under the name uncultured bacterium. RNAcentral's name for it is "partial 16S ribosomal RNA". It matches the Rfam family "Bacterial small subunit ribosomal RNA", at positions 30 to 507 of the family's 1533-position model. The record is from RNAcentral.
AUUGAACGCUGGCGGCAUGCCUUACACGUGCAAGUCGAACGGCAGCACGGGUGCUUGCACCUGGUGGCGAGUGGCGAACGGGUGAGUAAUACAUCGGAACAUGUCCUGUAGUGGGGGAUAGCCCGGCGAAAGCCGGAUUAAUACCGCAUACGAUCUACGGAUGACAGCGGGGGACCUUCGGGCCUCGCGCUAUAGGGUUGGCCGAUGGCUGUUUAGCUAGUUGGUGGGGUAAAGGCCUACCAAGGCGACGAUCAGUAGCUGGUCUGAGAGGACGACCAGCCACACUGGGACUGAGACACGGCCCAGACUCCUACGGGAGGCAGCAGUGGGGAAUUUUGGACAAUGGGCGAAAGCCUGAUCCAGCAAUGCCGCGUGUGUGAAGAAGGCCUUCGGGUUGUAAAGCACUUUUGUCCGGAAAGAAAUCCUUGGCCCUAAUACGGUCGGGGGAUGACGGUACCGGAAGAAUAAGCACCGGCUAACUACGUG